This 146-nucleotide non-coding RNA is filed under the name Nomascus leucogenys (northern white-cheeked gibbon). Lineage: Eukaryota; Metazoa; Chordata; Mammalia; Primates; Hylobatidae. The record is from Rfam by way of RNAcentral.
GCCAGGCGUGGUGGCACGCGCCUGUAGUCCCAGCUACCAGGAGGCUGAAACAGGAGGAUCGCUUGAGCCCAGAGGUUGAGGCUACAGUGAGCCAUGACUGUGCCACUGCACUCCAGCCUGGGCAACAAAGUGAGAUCCUGUCUCCA